CCUACGGGAGGCAGCAGUGGGGAAUCUUGCGCAAUGCACGAAAGUGUGACGCAGCAACGCCGCGUGGAGGAAGAAGGCUCUCGGGUCGUAAACUCCUUUCAGUUGGGACGAAGCUUCGUCAGUUAAUAGCCGGCUGGAGUGACGGUACCUUCACAAGAAGCACCGGCUAACUACGUGCCAGCAGCCGCGGUAAUACGUAGGGUGCAAGCGUUGUCCGGAAUCAUUGGGCGUAAAGAGCGUGUAGGCGGCCCGAUUAGUCCGCUGUGAAAGUCCAGGGCUCAACCCUGGAAUGCCGGUGGAUACUGUCGGGCUCGAGUCCGGAAGAGGCGAGUGGAAUUCCUGGUGUAGCGGUGAAAUGCGCAGAUAUCAGGAAGAACACCAACGGCGAAGGCAGCUCGCUGGGACGGUACUGACGCUGAGACGCGAAAGCGUGGGGAGCAAACAGGAUUAGAUACCCUGGUAGUCCACGCCGUAAACGAUGGGUACUAGGUGUGGGGGUGUCGGACUCCCCCGUGCCGAAGCUAACGCAUAGUACCCGCCUGGGGNGACGGCGCGAAGACGUAACGUUACGAAGAAGUUAGAGGCGNGNGAGNGCGACGGACGACGACGAGGGAGGAGG
This 619-nucleotide ribosomal RNA is filed under the name uncultured bacterium. Its description in RNAcentral is "bacterial SSU rRNA". The stretch from base 1 to 540 matches the Rfam family "Bacterial small subunit ribosomal RNA", at positions 338 to 873 of the family's 1533-position model. The record is from RNAcentral.